UGGGGAAUAUUGCACAAUGGGCGCAAGCCUGAUGCAGCCAUGCCGCGUGUGUGAAGAAGGCCUUCGGGUUGUAAAGCACUUUCAGCGAGGAGGAAGGUGGUGAGCUUAAUACGCUCAUCAAUUGACGUUACUCGCAGAAGAAGCACCGGCUAACUCCGUGCCAGCAGCCGCGGUAAUACGGAGGGUGCAAGCGUUAAUCGGAAUUACUGGGCGUAAAGCGCACGCAGGCGGUUUGUUAAGUCAGAUGUGAAAUCCCCGGGCUCAACCUGGGAACUGCAUUUGAAACUGGCAAGCUAGAGUCUCGUAGAGGGGGGUAGAAUUCCAGGUGUAGCGGUGAAAUGCGUAGAGAUCUGGAGGAAUACCGGUGGCGAAGGCGGCCCCCUGGACGAAGACUGACGCUCAGGUGCGAAAAGCGUGGGGAGCAAAACAGGAUUAGAUACCCUGGUAGUCCACGCUGUAAAACGAUGUCGAUUUUGGAGGUUGUGCCCUUGAGGCGUGGCUUCCGGAGCUAACGCGUUAAAUCGACCGCCUGGGGAGUACGGCCGCAAGGUUAAAACUCAAAGGAAUU
RNAcentral lists this ribosomal RNA (568 nucleotides) under uncultured bacterium. RNAcentral's name for it is "partial 16S ribosomal RNA". It matches the Rfam family "Bacterial small subunit ribosomal RNA", at positions 355 to 911 of the family's 1533-position model. The record is from RNAcentral.